This 358-nucleotide ribosomal RNA is filed under the name Gemmatimonadaceae bacterium. Its description in RNAcentral is "partial 23S ribosomal RNA". It matches the Rfam family "Bacterial large subunit ribosomal RNA", at positions 2575 to 2925 of the family's 2925-position model. Lineage: Bacteria; Pseudomonadati; Gemmatimonadota; Gemmatimonadia; Gemmatimonadales; Gemmatimonadaceae. The record is from RNAcentral.
GGCUGUUCGCCGGUUAAAGUGGUACAUGAGCUGGGUUCAGAACGUCGUGAGACAGUUCGGUCUGUAUCCGUCGUGGGCGUUGGAGGUUUGAGGGGUGUGGACCCUAGUACGAGAGGACCGGGUCGAAUUGCCCGCUCGUGUGCCGGCUGUGGUGCCAACUGCAUCGCCGGGUAGCGAGGGCAAGCGAAGAUAACCGCUGAAUGCAUCUAAGUGGGAAGCUUCCCCCAAGAUGAAACCUCCCUGGAGCCUCGAGCUCCCUGAAGGGCCGGGAGAGACCAUCCCGUCAAGAGGUCGCACGUGGACGUGGAGCAAUCCAUUCCAAGCGCAGCGAUCCUCAUCGCCCGUGAGGCUUGAUCUU